UCUGAGGAUAUGAGUGACAGAUAAGAAGGGCUGGUGGGCUCAGUCCUGGCUGGGGCUCAGGAAGCAGAGCCUGGAGCGUCUCCAUCAUGGCCUGGGUUCCACUACUCCUCACCCUCCUCGCUCACUGCACAGGCUCUUGGGCCAACUUUAUGCUGACUCAGCCCCACUCUGUGUCUGGGUCUGUGGGACAGAAAGUCGUCAUCUCCUGCACCCGCAGCAGUGGCAGCAUUGGGAGCUACUACGUGCAGUGGUACCAGCAGCGCCCGGGCAGUGCCCCCACCACUGUGAUCUAUGAUGAUAACGAAAGACCCUCUGGGGUCCCUGAUCGGUUCUCUGGCUCCAUUGACAGCUCCUCCAACUCUGCCUCCCUCACCAUCUCUGGGCUGGAGACUGAGGACGAGGCUGACUACUACUGUCAGUCUUAUGAUAGCAGCAGUUAUCACACAGUGCUCCAGACCCAUGGGGAAGUGAGACAGAAACCCCUUAGAGUAUCUCUACCUGGGCCAGCCUCAUCCUGUCUCCACUGGGGAGGGUAGCUCUCCUUUCUCUCCUGCCUAAGUGCUUGAGGUGAACUUAGCUUAUGACUUUCUCUUUUCCUUUUCAGAAUACCAAUCUGUUCUUCCACA
Non-coding RNA from Rhinopithecus roxellana (golden snub-nosed monkey), 626 nucleotides. The record is from the annotation of a RefSeq genome assembly. NCBI's taxonomy places the organism in Eukaryota, Metazoa, Chordata, Mammalia, Primates, Cercopithecidae.